Molecule: ribosomal RNA, 375 nt
Filed under: uncultured bacterium
Lineage: Bacteria
Description: bacterial SSU rRNA
Rfam family: Bacterial small subunit ribosomal RNA
Source: RNAcentral
UAUUGGACAAUGGGCGAAAGCCUGAUCCAGCAAUGCCGCGUGAGUGAUGAAGGCCCUAGGGUUGUAAAGCUCUUUUACCCGGGAAGAUAAUGACUGUACCGGGAGAAUAAGCCCCGGCUAACUCCGUGCCAGCAGCCGCGGUAAUACGGAGGGGCUAGCGUUGUUCGGAAUUACUGGGCGUAAAGCGCACGUAGGCGGCUUUGUAAGUCAGAGGUGAAAGCCUGGAGCUCAACUCCAGAACUGCCUUUGAGACUGCAUCGCUUGAAUCCAGGAGAGGUCAGUGGAAUUCCGAGUGUAGAGGUGAAAUUCGUAGAUAUUCGGAAGAACACCAGUGGCGAAGGCGGCUGACUGGACUGGUAUGACGCUGAGUGCGAA